This 829-nucleotide ribosomal RNA is filed under the name uncultured Staphylococcus sp. RNAcentral's name for it is "bacterial SSU rRNA". It matches the Rfam family "Bacterial small subunit ribosomal RNA", at positions 63 to 871 of the family's 1533-position model. Lineage: Bacteria; Bacillati; Bacillota; Bacilli; Caryophanales; Staphylococcaceae. The record is from RNAcentral.
CGAGCGAACGGACGAGAAGCUUGCUUCUCUGAUGUUAGCGGCGGACGGGUGAGUAACACGUGGAUAACCUACCUAUAAGACUGGGAUAACUUCGGGAAACCGUAGCUAAUACCGGAUAAUAUUUUGAACCGCAUGGUUCAAAAGUGAAAGACGGUCUUGCUGUCACUUAUAGAUGGAUCCGCGCUGCAUUAGCUAGUUGGUAAGGUAACGGCUUACCAAGGCAACGAUGCAUAGCCGACCUGAGAGGGUGAUCGGCCACAACUGGAACUGAGACACGGUCCAGACUCCUACGGGAGGCAGCAGUAGGGAAUCUUCCGCAAUGGGCGAAAGCCUGACGGAGCAACGCCGCGUGAGUGAUGAAGGUCUUCGGAUCGUAAAACUCUGUUAUUAGGGAAGAACAUAUGUGUAAGUAACUGUGCACAUCUUGACGGUACCUAAUCAGAAAGCCACGGCUAACUACGUGCCAGCAGCCGCGGUAAUACGUAGGUGGCAAGCGUUAUCCGGAAUUAUUGGGCGUAAAGCGCGCGUAGGCGGUUUUUUAAGUCUGAUGUGAAAGCCCACGGCUCAACCGUGGAGGGUCAUUGGAAACUGGAAAACUUGAGUGCAGAAGAGGAAAGUGGAAUUCCAUGUGUAGCGGUGAAAUGCGCAGAGAUAUGGAGGAACACCAGUGGCGAAGGCGACUUUCUGGUCUGUAACUGACGCUGAUGUGCGAUAUAGCGUGGGGAUCAAAACAGGAUUAGAUACCCUGGUAGUCCACGCCGUAAACGAUGAGUGCUAAGUGUUAGGGGUUUCCGCCCCUUAGUGCUGCAGCUACGCAUUAAGCACUCCG